This 472-nucleotide ribosomal RNA is filed under the name Hepatozoon sp. RNAcentral describes it as "SSU rRNA". It matches the Rfam family "Eukaryotic small subunit ribosomal RNA", at positions 486 to 955 of the family's 1831-position model. Lineage: Eukaryota; Apicomplexa; Hepatozoidae. The record is from RNAcentral.
CAAGGCAGUUAAAAUGCUUUGUAAUUGGAAUGAUAGAAAUUUAAACACUUUUUAAAGUAUCAAUUGGAGGGCAAGUCUGGUGCCAGCAGCCGCGGUAAUUCCAGCUCCAAUAGCGUAUAUUAAAAUUGUUGCAGUUAAAAAGCUCGUAGUUGAAUUUCUGCUAAAAAUAACCGGUCUGCUUUUAACAAAAGUGGUAUCUUGGUGUGUUUUUAGCAAUAAUGUCCUUUGAAAUGUGUUUUACUUUGUUGUAAAAGAUAAUAUUCAGGAUUUUUACUUUGAGAAAAUUAGAGUGUUUCUAGCAGGCUAAUGUUUUGAAUACUGCAGCAUGGAAUAAUAAAAUAUGAUUUUGGUUCUACAUUGUUGGUUUUAAGAGCUGAAUUAAUGAUUGAUAGGAACAGUUGGGGGCAUUUGUAUUUAACUGUCAGAGGUGAAAUUCUUAGAUUUGUUAAAGACAAACUACUGCGAAAGCAUU